UUUUUUUUUGAGACAGGGUCUCACUGUGUUGCCGAAGGCUGGAGUGUAGUGGCACGAUCUCAGCUCACAGCAGCCUCAACCUCCCUGGGCUCAAGGGAUCCUCGUGCCUCAGCCUCCCCAGUAGCUGGGAUUACAGGUGUAUGCCACCAUUCUUGGCAAAUUUUUUUAGAGAAUGGGUUUCGCCAUGUUGCCCAGGCUGGUCUUGAACUCCUGGGCUCAAGAGAUCUACCCACCUCAGCCUCCCAAAGUGCUGGGAUUACAGGUGUGAGCCACCGCACCCGACCACAGAAUCAAUUUCUUAUUGUCUUAAGCCACCCAGUCUGUACCCAUUUGCUACAGUAGCCCUGGGACGCUAAUACAGGACAAUAGAGAGAAAACACAACCACUAAUAAAAAUCAUUGCAAUUACCAUCCCAAUACACAAAGGACCCAAGGCCACUCACUUGAGAUUCCCUGUCCCCAGUCUCCCAGCCCAGCCAAGGAGGCAAAACCAGUGUGAUGAUUCCCAUCAGGCAGGAAGACCCCACAAGGCUCAGAGAGGGCCAAAGCGUGCACAGGACACCGAGUGAGCUCUACCUCGCUCCUAGGGAUUCUGAUUCCAAAUACGGGGUUCCUUCUGCUAAGUCACACUCAAAUCAACAUCCUGAAGACACAACAGAAAGAACAAUGGAAAUUGUCCAUUUUUAGAAUUUUCUUCCCCAAACUAUCAAGGUAGCUAAAUGUUCAGCUUUGUUAACAAAAAUAAAAGAAAAAAAGAAAAAAAAAAAGCUGUCCUGGGAGACAGAGCUGAGAACUGUCUUGGGGAACCAUUUCCAAGACAAAGGGGAUUCAAGACCCUCAACUAAAAUAUACUGAAGGUGGUAGCCCCCAGCAGUCUGGCAGUGACUACAGGUGCCACACCCAGGCCGGCUGAGGCUGGAUUCAAAUCGCCCUCAGGUUUGUUACCCACCUAACUUGGGACAGUUGUCGCAUCCCUGAGAGGCAGGUUCCUUGGCUAUCAACUCCAACUGUCCAAAAAACACUACAAUUACCCAACAGUCAGAUGAGGAUGUGGAGAAAUAAGAACCUUUGUGCACCGUCGGUGAGAAUGUAAAACGGUGUAGCCACCGUGAAAAACGGUCUGGUAAUUCCUCAAAAAUUUAAAUAUAGGAUUACCCUUUGAUGCAGAAACUCCACUUUCGGGUAUAAACCCAAAAGAACUGAAAGCAAGGAUUCAAACAUAUUAUUGUCCACCCAUGUUCUUAGUUGUGCCAUUCACAAUAGCCAAAAGCAGCCCAACUGUCCAUCUACGGAUGGGUGGAUAAGCAAAAUGUGGUCUAUCCAUACGAUAGAAUAUUAUUCAGCCUCAAAAAGGAAGGAGAUUGUAACACAUGCUACAACAAGGAUGGACCUCGAAGACACUAUACUAAGUGAAAUGAGCCAGGCACAAAAGGACAAGCACUAUGAUUCCACUUACCUGAGGAACCUAGAAUAGUCACAUUCAGAGAGACAGAAUGGAGAAUGGGGGGCUGGGGAGAGGGGAAAUGGGAAGUUAGUGUUUAAUGGGGCCAGAGCUCUGUUUGGGAUGAUGGAAAACCUCUGGAGAUGGACGGUGGUGAUGGUUGCAUAUCAAUUGCAAUGUACUUAUUGCCACCGAACUGUGCACUUAAAAAUGGUUAAAAUGGUAAAUCUAAUGUUUAUCUUACCACAAUUUUAAAAACUCACAAUCGAAGCACUGUGAGAAUCACUGGAGAUACACAGAAAGCCCACAGCACAGAGUGGACCCUUGAUCAAUGGUAUUUUUAAGAUUAAAAUGCUAAUAACUGAGCUGGCUAAUAAAACGCAAGGAAAUUCAUGCAAAAGACCUUGAGUCAGAAAGGACUGGUUAAAUACAACACCAAGAGCAGACUCACGCACCCAGCGGGCCUCGCCCCACCAGCUAUUCCUCACUUCUUAACAGAGGCAAUAAUUAAAAAUGUCCUGUUUUAUGAAAAGAUUCCGUUUCUGCAGGUAGUGACUCCAUUUUUGCAUUCACCUCCCUGGAGAAGUCCUGAGCCCUCUGAUCCCUUCCUUGAGAAUCAUACAAUACUGGCCCAGCAGCAGCUCCAUGAUUCACGAGCUCACUCCUCUCCCUUGGCUGCUCCUACUCACACCUGCCAGGUACGAGGCCGGGUGGGAGGGGCAGGCCAGGAGCCAGAUGCAAGGACAGGAGCAGGAUGCCCACGUGGGCCACAGGCUCGAGGAGGCUUGAAUUCAAAUCCCGCCUGUGCCGUCCACCAGAUGCGCAAGGAAAACAAAUUCGCAUCUGCAAAAACCAGGAGCAGGUCCUGUCACCUCUCACCUGUGAACUAUGAAAGGAGCUGCCUGGAAAGCCCAAAUUCAGAUCUGGGAAAGAAGGCUCCACCUGGGGCACCCCACCGCAGUGAGUUCCUCUAGGGCAAGGACGCUGUCAUGCCCAUUUCUGGAUCCCUACACUCUAGCCCAGGGUCUGGCACAUGUAUGACCAGCAUAUGAAGGAAGACCUGGGGGACCCUCUCAGGGACCAUAUCUGAGUUUGAUCUGGUUUCCCCGGCAUAACGCUGGGCCCACAGAGGGGCCCCUGCCCACCAAGGGUUCCGUCCCACUUCUUUUUGGGUAAAAGUGACCAGCCUUGAUUAUGUUGGAAUAAACUAUAUAUCAUGGUUCAGACUAUUUGGGUUUAAUUGUGAAAUAUACACAGAACACAGCCCCUCCACCCCAACCCUGCCCUCAGGUUUGAAAAGUCAAGUACAUUUGGUUCCCCUCUCCCCCUACCAUAAAAACAACAAAGAACGCCUCAGGCUUUCGUAAGGGCUGUGAUUUCUUUCACGUGGGGAAAAAAAUGGAUUCCACUGCCCUGUGUACAAAAACAAGGAGGACGCUCAUAAGAGAAUGAGGCUAGCAGCGCUUUCUGUGUUUCCUCUGCUUUCUCUCAUGGGUGUAGACACCGCCUUUUCUGGGUCUUCAUCAUCCCCCAGCAUCUCCUGGGCACCUGCUGGGACUCAGCCCCGCCCCAGCCACUGGAGACACAGAGAUGAGCCUGGUCGAGGAAAUGGACUUGGUCAAGGCUGGCGUGGGACCACAUGCCAAGUCCCUGACUCCCAGUCAGACCCCCAAAACCC
This 3118-nucleotide long non-coding RNA is filed under the name Macaca fascicularis (crab-eating macaque). RNAcentral's name for it is "lncRNA (ENSMFAG00000051562.1)". Lineage: Eukaryota; Metazoa; Chordata; Mammalia; Primates; Cercopithecidae. The record is from RNAcentral.